This 1645-nucleotide long non-coding RNA is filed under the name Bos mutus (wild yak). Its description in RNAcentral is "lncRNA (ENSBMUG00000013650.1)". Lineage: Eukaryota; Metazoa; Chordata; Mammalia; Artiodactyla; Bovidae. The record is from RNAcentral.
CCUUGGGCAUGAUCCGCCGCAGCCUCGCCUUCCCUCCGCGCGCCCGGAACAAAGCUGCGGGCGGCCGAGCCGAGGAGGGGACGGCAAGGGGACUCCGCAGCGGCGCCCCUCGGCCCCUGCCUGCUGGUGAGCAGCCCAGGGACUGCAGGGGAUGGGGGCGGGCAGCGUAAAAAGUUCUGAUCGGGAGAAGCUCCGGCGAUCCCCUGGGCGUCCUCCCGAGCAGGCGCAGCCUCGGGCGGCGGCGCGCCCGGCCAGACCGCCUCCCGCCCCCUCCCUGCCCCGCAAGAAGCUGCUGCUCAGAACCCGCCGCGUCCGCAGCACUCAGCCGGGUUUCGGGCGACACUGCCCUCGGGCCGGAAACUAAACACCAAGUGCCCUCCGCUGCGGUGGGACUCCUGGGCUUUCUUUGUGCAGAGUGGCGGGACCCAGUCGCUUGGCGUUCUUGGGGGAGGGGGUCUAUCAGGAGGAGAUGGUAGGCGACGGGAUAAAUUGAAUCACCACGAUGCGGCCGGCCAGCGCAGGAAACCUCCAGAUGCCAGGGUAGGCUGCCCUGAGUCCCGCCUGGGUCUCUCUCUCAGCGACUCUACCCUUCCUGGUCUGCAAGAGAAGAAAUAUUCUUCUUCUCUGGAUCGGGUCUUUUACCAAAAAAAAAAAAAAAAUUCUCUGUCCUCUGGUCACCAGCAGGUCCUUUGCUCCUUCUGGCCAGCGCGGAGCGUUCAGAGGCGGGCUCCCAGUCGGUGCACGGUCUCGGCCGACCUUUCCCCGCGAGCUCCCGGGUCGUCUGCCUCUUGCUUCGCCAUUCAGGCGGCCCCUCGGGCCGACAGUGCGGUCACCCAGACGGCGUUAGCGGGGCUUAGGGGCUACUGGGAGGCAGCCCGCGGGCUCGAAAGGCUGGCUGCGCUGAGGAGGGUGCACCCGGCUGGGCGCACAGCGCGGGACGCGCGGGGCUCGACGCACGGCGCCUUCAACACCAUGGACAGGUCGCGCGAUCGCGGCGCCCGGCCCGCCCAGCAGCCAGCCCCCAGGGCGUCAUGCCGCCCCCACCACUGCCUUCUUCUUCCCGAAGUGUCCACCCGGCCACCUUCAAACCCGCCUCUCCCGCGACGCCUCCGCCUCACUUCAUUGGGCUCCCGUGUAGCCCCGGGAACGUGCUGCCCGGGUGCUGCAGGUACCCAGAAAAACAACGGCUCCGGCCCUUCGACGCAAUCCGCCCCCUUCUCCCGCCACCUGAGCACCGGCACUCCAGCACUCCGUCUGCUCGGUCCAGCUAGGGUCAGCCGCUCUCAGACUGCACCAUUUUCUUCGCAGCCCACCCAGGGGUUGAGAUGCCGGCUCACUCGGCAGCGCGCAGAGAGUCGUGUCCGGCCUUGGCGUUCUACGAUCCGGCUCCAAGAGCGGUGGUCGCCGAGGUGAAUGGGGCGAGGGUGGGGGAGGGAGGCUGGGACUCUCAGCUCCCCGUCCCUGCCUCCUCCUCUAGCCGCGGCGGCUCCGGGACCUCGAGGUCUCGGCCGGUGCCAGGGAGCGAGAGCCCAGGCUGCGCCGGGGAGGCUCGGGAAAUCGCAUCGCCCGGCUGCGGGGCGCUGGAGGAAGCCGCGGCUUUGCUCUCUUGCUCCGGCGCCGGGCGCUGCAGCCUUGGCUGAAACCC